Molecule: ribosomal RNA, 388 nt
Filed under: uncultured bacterium
Lineage: Bacteria
Description: bacterial SSU rRNA
Rfam family: Bacterial small subunit ribosomal RNA
Source: RNAcentral
GACGAACGCUGGCGGCGUGCUUAACACAUGCAAGUCGAGCGGUAAGGCCCUUUCGGGGGUACACGAGCGGCGAACGGGUGAGUAACACGUGGGUGACCUGCCUCAGCUCUGGGAUAAGCCUGGGAAACUGGGUCUAAUACUGGAUAUGACUCCACGGUGCAUGUCGUGGGGUGGAAAGCCUUGUGCGGCUGAGGAUGGGCCCGCGGCCUAUCAGCUUGUUGGUGGGGUGANGGCCUACCAAGGCGACGACGGGUAGCCGGCCUGAGAGGGCGACCGGCCACACUGGGACUGAGACACGGCCCAGACUCCUACGGGAGGCAGCAGUGGGGAAUCUUGCGCAAGUGGGCGAAAGCCUGACGCAGCGACGCCGCGUGAGGGAUGACGGCCU